This is a long non-coding RNA of Mus musculus (house mouse), 337 nucleotides long. RefSeq annotates it as predicted gene, 39914. The transcript is spliced from 2 exons. NCBI's taxonomy places the organism in Eukaryota, Metazoa, Chordata, Mammalia, Rodentia, Muridae. The record is from RefSeq and is a predicted model, not a curated record.
UCCUAACCAGUCUCUCAUUCUUCUCCGAGGAGCUUCAGAAUGAUUCCUAGAGGCGAGUGUAGCAAGCCAAGAUGCUGCCAGGGAAGAGUCAGACUGGCAGCUCAGGAGGCUCCGCCAGGAUCCCAGGGAGACUGGGCAACAGGGAAGACGGGAAGAUCUUGAAUUUAGCAGGUAGGCAGAUUCCAAGCAUAGGCCGAGUCAUCUGACUGAUACAAGAAUGGAGGUGAUAAUGCAGACUGGAGCCACCAUGGACCCUAUCUGAUGCACAAUGUAAACAAACGAACCCUUGGUCUGUUUCUUGCUGAGACAUAAUGUAUGCUAAGCUAAUUAAAAGACA